ACUAAGCGUAUACGGUGGAUGCCUUGGCAGUUAGAGGCGAUGAAGGACGUGAUAGUCUGCGAUAAGCCCCGGGGAGUUGACAAUAAGCGUUGAUCCGAGGAUUUCCGAAUGGGGCAACCCAGCCACAGCAAUGUGGCUAUCUGCAACUGAAUACAUAGGUUGUAGAAGCGAACGCGGAGAACUGAAACAUCUAAGUACCCGUAGGAACAGAAAUCAACCGAGAUUCCCUUAGUAGCGGCGAGCGAACGGGGAUUAGCCCUUAAGCUUUUUAGACUUUAGUGGAACGCACUGGAAAGUGCGGCCGUAGUGGGUGAUAGCCCCGUACACGAAAGGGUCUUUAAAGUGAAAUCGAGUAGGUCGGAGCACGAGAAACUUUGACUGAACAUGGGGGGACCAUCCUCCAAGGCUAAAUACUCCUAACUGACCGAUAGUGAACCAGUACCGUGAGGGAAAGGCGAAAAGAACCCCGGAGAGGGGAGUGAAAUAGAACCUGAAACCGUAUACGUACAAGCAGUGGGAGCACCUUCGUGGUGUGACUGCGUACCUUUUGUAUAAUGGGUCAGCGACUUAUUGUUAGUAGCAAGGUUAACCGAAUAGGGGAGCCGUAGGGAAACCGAGUCUUAAUAGGGCGACUAGUUGCUGGCAAUAGACCCGAAACCAGGCGAUCUAGCCAUGGGCAGGGUGAAGGUUGAGUAACAUCAACUGGAGGCCCGAACCCACUUACGUUGAAAAGUGAGGGGAUGACCUGUGGCUAGGAGUGAAAGGCUAAUCAAGCCUGGAGAUAGCUGGUUCUCCGCGAAAGCUAUUUAGGUAGCGCCUCACGUGAUUACCCUCGGGGGUAGAGCACUGUUUCGGCUAGGGGGCCAUCCCGGCUUACCAACCCGAUGCAAACUCCGAAUACCGAGGAGUAUAAUGUGGGAGACACACGGCGGGUGCUAACGUCCGUCGUGGAAAGGGAAACAACCCAGACCGCCAGCUAAGGUCCCUAAAUCCAAUUAAGUGGGAAACGAUGUGGGAAGGCUUAGACAGCUAGGAGGUUGGCUUAGAAGCAGCCAUCCUUUAAAGAAAGCGUAACAGCUCACUAGUCGAGUCGGCCUGCGCGGAAGAUGUAACGGGGCUAAAUUGGAUACCGAAGCUGCGGGUGUAUAUUUUAUAUGCGCGGUAGCGGAGCGUUCUGUAAGCUGUUGAAGGUGUACCGGGAGGUAUGCUGGAGGUAUCAGAAGUGCGAAUGCUGACAUGAGUAACGAUAAUGGGGGUGAAAAACCUCCACGCCGAAAGACCAAGGUUUCCUGCGCAACGCUAAUCGGCGCAGGGUUAGUCGGCCCCUAAGGCGAGGGCGAAAGCCGUAGUCGAUGGGAAACAGGUUAAUAUUCCUGUACCGAUAUUUACUGCGAUGGGAUGACGGAGAAGGCUAAAUCUACCGGGCGAUGGUUGUCCCGGGGAAAGGUUGUAGGCUGGAAUCUUAGGAAAAUCCGGGAUUCCUUAAGGCUGAGAACUGAGACCAUGCUCUACGGAGCAGAAGUGAUUGAUGCCAUGCUUCCAGGAAAUAAUCUCUAAGCUUCAGGUAAGUAUCGACCGUACUCCAAACCGACACAGGUGGUUGGGAUGAGUAUUCUAAGGCGCUUGAGAGAACUCGGGUGAAGGAACUAGGCAAAAUGGUACCGUAACUUCGGGAGAAGGUACACUCUUGGUGGUGAAGGGACUUGCUCCCUAAGCUAUUGAGAGUCACAGUGAAAAGGUGGCUGCGACUGUUUAUUAAAAACACAGCACUCUGCAAACACGUAAGUGGACGUAUAGGGUGUGACGCCUGCCCGGUGCCGGAAGGUUAAUUGAUGGGGUUAGCAUUAGCGAAGCUCUUGAUCGAAGCCCCGGUAAACGGCGGCCGUAACUAUAACGGUCCUAAGGUAGCGAAAUUCCUUGUCGGGUAAGUUCCGACCUGCACGAAUGGCGUAACGAUGGCCACACUGUCUCCACCCGAGACUCAGUGAAAUUGAAAUUGCGGUGAAGAUGCCGUAUACCCGCGGCUAGACGGAAAGACCCCGUGAACCUUUACUACAGCUUUGCACUGAACUUUGAACCUAUCUGUGUAGGAUAGGUGGGAGGCUUUGAAGCGGGAACGCUAGUUCUCGUGGAGCCACCCUUGAAAUACCACCCUGGUAUGUUUGAGGUUCUAACCCAGGUCCGUUAUCCGGAUCGGGAACAGUGUAUGGUGGGUAGUUUGACUGGGGCGGUCUCCUCCCAAAGAGUAACGGAGGAGCACGAAGGUGUGCUAAGCAUGGUCGGACAUCAUGCGGUUAGUGUAAAGGCAUAAGCGCGCUUGACUGCGAGACUGACAAGUCGAGCAGGUACGAAAGUAGGUCUUAGUGAUCCGGUGGUUCUGUAUGGAAGGGCCAUCGCUCAACGGAUAAAAGGUACUCCGGGGAUAACAGGCUGAUACCGCCCAAGAGUUCACAUCGACGGCGGUGUUUGGCACCUCGAUGUCGGCUCAUCACAUCCUGGGGCUGAAGCCGGUCCCAAGGGUAUGGCUGUUCGCCAUUUAAAGUGGUACGCGAGCUGGGUUUAGAACGUCGUGAGACAGUUCGGUCCCUAUCUGCCGUGGGCGUUGGAAAUUUGAGGAGAGCUGCUUCUAGUACGAGAGGACCGAAGUGGACGUUCCCCUGGUGUUCCGGUUGUCACGCCAGUGGCAUUGCCGGGUAGCUACGAACGGACGGGAUAACCGCUGAAAGCAUCUAAGCGGGAAGCCUCCUCCAAGAUUAGAUUUCCCUGGGAACUUGAUUCCCCUAAAGGGCCGUUGAAGACUACAACGUUGAUAGGCUGGGUGUGGAAGCUCUGUGAAGAGUGAAGCUAACCAGUACUAAUUGCCCGUGAGGCUUGACU
RNAcentral lists this ribosomal RNA (2877 nucleotides) under Gammaproteobacteria bacterium SCGC AAA003-E02. RNAcentral describes it as "bacterial LSU rRNA". It matches the Rfam family "Bacterial large subunit ribosomal RNA". Lineage: Bacteria; Pseudomonadati; Pseudomonadota; Gammaproteobacteria. The record is from RNAcentral.